This 515-nucleotide ribosomal RNA is filed under the name uncultured bacterium. RNAcentral describes it as "partial 16S ribosomal RNA". It matches the Rfam family "Bacterial small subunit ribosomal RNA", at positions 28 to 523 of the family's 1533-position model. The record is from RNAcentral.
GAUGAACGCUGGCGGCGUGCCUAAUACAUGCAAGUCGAGCGAAUGGAUUAAGAGCUUGCUCUUAUGAGGUUAGCGGCGGACGGGUGAGUAACACGUGGGUAACCUGCCCAUAAGACUGGGAUAACUCCGGGAAACCGGGGCUAAUACCGGAUAACAUUUUGAACCGCAUGGUUCGAAAUUGAAAGGCGGCUUCGGCUGUCACUUAUGGAUGGACCCGCGUCGCAUUAGCUAGUUGGUGAGGUAACGGCUCACCAAGGCAACGAUGCGUAGCCGACCGUGGAGGGUGAUCGGCCACACUGGGACUGAGACACGGCCCAGACUCCUACUGGAGGCAGCAGUAGGGAAUCUUCCGCAAUGGACGAAAGUCUGACGGAGCAACGCCGCGUGAGUGAUGAAGGCUUUCGGGUCGUAAAACUCUGUUGUUAGGGAAGAACAAGUGCUAGUUGAAUAAGCUGGCACCUUGACGGUACCUAACCAGAAAGCCACGGCUAACUACGUGCCAGCCGCCGCAGUAA